GUCCCGUGAGGCUCAGUUGGUAGAGCAUGGUGUUUGCAACGCCAGGGUUGUGGGUUCGAUUCCCACGGGGGACC
Non-coding RNA from Salmo salar (Atlantic salmon), 74 nucleotides. Lineage: Eukaryota; Metazoa; Chordata; Actinopteri; Salmoniformes; Salmonidae. The record is from Rfam.